This 510-nucleotide ribosomal RNA is filed under the name uncultured bacterium. RNAcentral describes it as "partial 16S ribosomal RNA". It matches the Rfam family "Bacterial small subunit ribosomal RNA", at positions 28 to 507 of the family's 1533-position model. The record is from RNAcentral.
GACGAACGCUGGCGGCGUGCUUAACACAUGCAAGUCGAACGAAGAGCGAUGGAAGCUUGCUUCUAUCAAUCUUAGUGGCGAACGGGUGAGUAACGCGUAAUCAACCUGCCCUUCAGAGGGGGACAACAGUUGGAAACGACUGCUAAUACCGCAUACGAUCUAAUCUCGGCAUCGAGGAUAGAUGAAAGGUGGCCUCUACAUGUAAGCUAUCACUGAAGGAGGGGAUUGUGUCUGAUUAGCUAGUUGGAGGGGUAACGGCCCACCAAGGCGAUGAUCAGGAGCCGGUCGGAGAGGAUGAACGGCCACAUUGGGACUGAGACACGGCCCAGACUCCUACGGGAGGCAGCAGUGGGGAAUCUUCCGCAAUGGACGAAAGUCUGACGGAGCAACGCCGCGUGAGUGAUGACGGCCGUCGGGUUGUAAAGCUCUGUUAAUCGGGACGAAAGGCCUUCUUGCGAAUAGUGAGAAGGAUUGACGGUACCGGAAUAGAAAGCCACGGCUAACUACGUG